GCGAACGCUGGCGGCAGGCUUAACACAUGCAAGUCGAGCGGGCGUAGCAAUACGUCAGCGGCAGACGGGUGAGUAACGCGUGGGAACGUACCUUUUGGUUCGGAACAACCCAGGGAACUUGGGCUAAUACCGGAUAAGCCCUACGGGGAAAGAUUAUCGCCGAAAGAUCGGCCCGCGUCUGAUUAGCUAGUUGGUGAGGUAACGGCUCACCAAGGCGACGAUCAGUAGCUGGUCUGAGAGGAUGAUCAGCCACAUUGGGACUGAGACACGGCCCAAACUCCUACGGGAGGCAGCAGUGGGGAAUAUUGGACAAUGGGCGCAAGCCUGAUCCAGCCAUGCCGCGUGAGUGAUGAAGGCCC
This 359-nucleotide ribosomal RNA is filed under the name uncultured bacterium. RNAcentral describes it as "bacterial SSU rRNA". It matches the Rfam family "Bacterial small subunit ribosomal RNA", at positions 29 to 417 of the family's 1533-position model. The record is from RNAcentral.